AUUGAACGCUGGCGGCAGGCCUAACACAUGCAAGUCGAGCGGAUGAAGGGAGCUUGCUCCUGGAUUCAGCGGCGGACGGGUGAGUAAUGCCUAUGAAUCUGCCUGGUAGUGGGGGAUAACGUCCGGAAACGGGCGCUAAUACCGCAUACGUCCUGAGGGAGAAAGUGGGGGAUCUUCGGACCUCACGCUAUCAGAUGAGCCUAGGUCGGAUUAGCUAGUUGGUGGGGUAAAGGCCUACCAAGGCGACGAUCCGUAACUGGUCUGAGAGGAUGAUCAGUCACACUGGAACUGAGACACGGUCAAGACUCCUACGGGAGGCAGCAGUGGGGAAUAUUGGACAAUGGGCGAAAGCCUGAUCCAGCCAUGCCGCGUGUGUGAAGAAGGUCUUCGGAUUGUAAAGCACUUUAAGUUGGGAGGAAGGGCAGUAAGUUAAUACCUUGCUGUUUUGACGUUACCAACAGAAUAAGCACCGGCUAACUUCGUG
This 484-nucleotide ribosomal RNA is filed under the name uncultured bacterium. RNAcentral's name for it is "partial 16S ribosomal RNA". It matches the Rfam family "Bacterial small subunit ribosomal RNA", at positions 30 to 507 of the family's 1533-position model. The record is from RNAcentral.